Long non-coding RNA from Salarias fasciatus (jewelled blenny), 98 nucleotides. RefSeq lists it as uncharacterized. The transcript has 3 exons. The record is from RefSeq and is a predicted model, not a curated record. NCBI's taxonomy places the organism in Eukaryota, Metazoa, Chordata, Actinopteri, Blenniiformes, Blenniidae.
UGAUUAUCGUCUCAGCAUUCAUCAGGCUCAUCAACACAAAGUCAAGCAUCGGAGGGGAAAAGUGCAAAAACUGGCCAGAGAUCAGAGCUGAGGGGCGA